CAAGUCACGAUAACGGACGUCGCUCCACUCCCCGCAACAGACUCCACGUGGCAGGUCACGGUGAUGGCCACGAUUCCACUCCACUACUCUUCAUAACAAGCUCCUCCUGAUCCCGAACGGCCCACUACCAGACAGUUACAAACAUCACUAUCAGUCUAUUACACCCUCCGCCUAUAAAAAGAGGACCCCAGAUACAUUAUUCUCUAAGCUCUAAUUUCUAUCUCAAAACUCUGCUAAAAUUUUUGUUCGAGCACUCCAUUCUUAUUGAGGCAGAGAACUGAGUUGAGCGUCGGAGGGUCUUGCCGGAGCACCCCCAACUCCGAUUUAGACUUCCUUUACAGGUUCCGGUGGUGACCGCGGCUCCCUCGACUCCAGCUUCUCCGACACCGGUGGAUUUUUGCACCAACACCAGAUAAUACCCAUAUUUGGACAUGAG
This 436-nucleotide long non-coding RNA is filed under the name Elaeis guineensis (African oil palm). Its description in RNAcentral is "long non-coding RNA (EGUI_LNC064141)". The record is from RNAcentral. Lineage: Eukaryota; Viridiplantae; Streptophyta; Magnoliopsida; Arecales; Arecaceae.